GUAUUUUUUACACACAAUUUAAAUAUUCCUAACAACAAUUCUCCAAUCUCCACUAAUAUAUAUAGUACAUAGCCUAGGGUUAGGGUACUAUCAAUAUAUACAAAAAUUAUAUUUAAUAUACAUAUAUAUGAUCAUUAUGAUUCUCUUUCAACAUCCAUCCUUUGCCCUACGUCUUGGCAGUAUGAUGAGUCCGCCAUUAAAUUGGAUGUUUGGCGUUGGUGAUUCUACUUCUAAAAUAGCGCCGCCACAGUCGCCGCCACCACCAGAAAUAGCUUCUGCUCCACACUUCAUACUACCAAGUGAUGGCUUCUAAUUUAAAUAUAUAUGUCUAAAUUAAAGAGUUAUGAAUAAAUUAUCUUCAAAUAUAUAUGUCUUAACUAAUAACUAAUAUGUUAUGAAUUAAUUAAUUAAUGUACGUGUGAAUCAAUCUGCAUAAUGCAGAAGAUAAAUAAAUAUAUAUUUUGUAGCAAUUUCUUUUAUUUAUGCAGAUGCAACUUCUCAUACUUAACUUGUAAAGUAAUCAUAUAUACUUUUUGUUGAUUAAUGUUAUGAUAGGUCAAUAUGUAGUUUGUGUCUGGCUGAUCAUAUUUACUACUCAUUUUUGGCAGAUUUUGAGUGUGUUUGGAAAUAUAACUGAAAAUUUGCUUUUUACUUUUGAAAAUUAAAAAAAGUAUUCUUUUAACA
Long non-coding RNA from Cannabis sativa, 684 nucleotides. RefSeq lists it as uncharacterized. The transcript has 2 exons. Lineage: Eukaryota; Viridiplantae; Streptophyta; Magnoliopsida; Rosales; Cannabaceae. The record is from RefSeq and is a predicted model, not a curated record.